Molecule: non-coding RNA, 225 nt
Organism: Solanum tuberosum (potato)
Lineage: Eukaryota; Viridiplantae; Streptophyta; Magnoliopsida; Solanales; Solanaceae
Source: Rfam
AUGUGUCACUUUUCGGAUUUCGAGAUUCAAACAAGUCUAACUUUGACCGUAAGUUUUUCAUAGAUUUUUUAAAUAUUUUGAAUUAUUAAUUAUUGUGACUUAUAGUACUUUUUACGUAGUUUACAAAUAUAUAAAUUUCAUUUCAAAAAAAUUGAAGAUUUCAUGCAUAAAUUUCUAGUCAAACUUAAAUUGUUUGACUCUCGAAAAACGAAAAGUGUCACAUAA